Molecule: ribosomal RNA, 253 nt
Filed under: uncultured bacterium
Lineage: Bacteria
Description: partial 16S ribosomal RNA
Rfam family: Bacterial small subunit ribosomal RNA
Source: RNAcentral
UACGAAGGGGGCUAGCGUUGCUCGGAAUCACUGGGCGUAAAGGGUGCGUAGGCGGGUCUUUAAGUCUGGGGUGAAAUCCUGGAGCUCAACUCCAGAACUGCCUUUGAUACUGAAGAUCUUGAGUUCGGGAGAGGUGAGUGGAACUGCGAGUGUAGAGGUGAAAUUCGUAGAUAUUCGCAAGAACACCAGUGGCGAAGGCGGCUCACUGGCCCGAUACUGACGCUGAGGCACGAAAGCGUGGGGAGCAAACGGG